CUUUUCCAGUUGUAGGUGAUGAGCUACAGCAGUGAACAAAACAGCAGAGUCUCUCCUUACGGGGCUUCUAUUCUGGCAGGAAGAGAUGGCCAAGAAACAAAAAGGUGUCUGGGCUGCUUCCUUUAAUCAAGGCCCUAUCAUAGUCCAGUUACAUGAAUCAGAAGAGGUGGAGCUGGGACUGGAAGGCAAGCAUUCUUCCCUCAGUCUGUGUUUCCCCAGGGAUCCUGAAACAUGUGAACCUAAGGCAACAAAGUAAAGUACCUCUGAGUCCUUGAAGCAGCAACGAUUUCUCCAAACUCCAGGACAUCUUGGAUUAUGCCUUGCCUGCUGCCCUGCCUGUCACACGGGUGUGUGUGAAGACCGGCUAUGAUAAUAAUGUGUGGUAGAUGGAUAUAUUUUGCUAAAUGCAAAGCACCAUAACAAUGUGAGUUGUUAUUCUCAUUUCAGUGUUUUCUGGAUGGAGUUGAAAUAUUUUGGCAGUCAUAGAAUGAACUGUAGCAUAUCCAAAUUCAUGUAUGAUAAAUCAUGU
Molecule: long non-coding RNA, 529 nt
Organism: Manis pentadactyla (Chinese pangolin)
Lineage: Eukaryota; Metazoa; Chordata; Mammalia; Pholidota; Manidae
Exons: 3
Source: RefSeq, a predicted model, not a curated record